UAGAUGAAUGCUCGUUGGUUUGAGCACCUAGCUGUUAACUAGGAGUUUGUAGGAUCGAGGCCUUCUCAUCUAGU
RNAcentral lists this transfer RNA (74 nucleotides) under Clarias fuscus (whitespotted clarias). Its description in RNAcentral is "tRNA-Asn". It matches the Rfam family "tRNA". From Rfam's summary of the family: Transfer RNA (tRNA) molecules are approximately 80 nucleotides in length. Their secondary structure includes four short double-helical elements and three loops (D, anti-codon, and T loops). The record is from RNAcentral. Lineage: Eukaryota; Metazoa; Chordata; Actinopteri; Siluriformes; Clariidae.